This 5862-nucleotide long non-coding RNA is filed under the name Theobroma cacao (cacao). Its description in RNAcentral is "long non-coding RNA (TCAC_LNC004309)". Lineage: Eukaryota; Viridiplantae; Streptophyta; Magnoliopsida; Malvales; Malvaceae. The record is from RNAcentral.
CCAACCAUCCCUUCCCCAACCACCAUGAGUGAUGGGGCUCUAGCUACCAACUCUUCGGUGCUAGAACCCCAUUGUCGGGUUGUCCAAAUUUUUGGACAACCUAGUUUUUAAGGAUUGACCACCUGCAAAAAAACGGAAGGAGAAAAAAAAAACGUUUUCAAAACAAAAAACCUAAAAUCUCUAUCAGCCAGAAACAGCCACAAUCAAUAGAAAAUAAGAAAUCACAACAAAAAAAUACAAAAAGAAGAAACGAAAAUCUGAGAGACCCAAGGAAUGUGGAUCUAUUCAGCGAGGGAAGGAGAGAUAGGGGGUGAGUGGUGCCGGAUCUGAGCGGGGCACAAAAGGUUUGGGAAGCCGCCGGCUUAAAGGGGGAGAGAAAAAAGAGUGAAAGCAGUACCGACGCCAGAUCCGACGACAGUGAAGGUGGGGCUACCACCGGUUGGUCAGAUUUGAAAAAAGAAAGGGGAAUAGAGAAGAGAAAGCCGAAGGAGAGGGAAAGAGAAGGAUCUGCCAACCAUAGGGAAAGUUGAAGAGAGAAAGAAACAAAAAAGAAGAGAUAGAGAAAAAGAAAAUUUUAGAGAGAAGGGAGAGGGUGAUCGGCUAGAGAGAGAAGGAGAAAGGUGAAAAUAAGGAAGAAAAAAAAAUAAGCUUUUAUACUAAACAGAGGAGAGCAAAACGGUCCCGUUUUAGUGGAGUGGGGGAAUUGAAAGGUCAAUGCCUAAACGGUGCCGUUUCGAGUGGCUCUAUAGGCACCAAACGAUGCGUUUUGAAUUCUGCCUUGUGGGCCUCAAGAAUCAGAUCGGGUGUAACAGAUUUGGGCUUCUACAGGCCAUUGAGUUGGGCUAAUCUGAGCCCAGAAAGGUAUAACCCUUCUCUUUGGUUUGGGCUUAUUUCAAUUGAUUUUGGGUUAGCCCAUUUUGUUAAAUAAAUUGCAUUUUUUUGUUGUUAUGAUUUAAACCAUAUUAGGAAAAGUUAUACAUAUAUAUACGUAUAUAUUUAUUAUGAAUGCUUCUUUAAAUGCUAGAAAAAUAAAAAAAAAUAAUGAUAAUAACAAUAAUAAUAAUAAAAAUCAUCAACUUAAAUAAAACGUUAAUAUAUAUAUAUAUAUAAGACUAAAUGAAAUAGUUAAUUAUAUUAAAAUAUUAAAUAUAUUGCCAAAGAAAUUAAGAUCAAAGAAAUUAUUUUAUAAAUGCGUACCACUUACGAAUUUAUCUUGAUAUGGCAUAUGCUAUUUUUAUUUUGCUAAUGGAUCGAGAACCCCAAUGUNUUGCCUCUUUUAAGUGAGAUUUUUUUGAGUGCGAAGUUCGAGAUGAAUUUUCACCGAAGCGUCGGGAUAAAUCCGAACUCUAAACUUCAAUACCCGUUAAGUCAAAUUAUCGUCGUAAAAAAAUAAAUUUACAUAAUGUUGCAUUUGAACUUAAAUUAAUAUAAUUAGUUAAUCAGCUUAAAUAAAUACUACUAAAUAGAGUUAAUUUAAUCGUCAAAAAAAUAGAUUAAUUAAUUGUUUAUUUGAUAAGCUAUAUAAUCAAGUAAAAUAUUAAUCAAAAACGUUAAUUAAAGGAUAUGGAUCUAAAUAGAAAAUAAAAAAAAUAAAAUAAACAAAUAAUCCACAAAAAAAUAAUAAAUAGCAAUAAACGUAUAAAUAAGGUGAUAAAUUAUUAAACACGUAAUUGGAUGAAUUAUGAACCACGUAAGUCAAUAAACGCAUGCAUGUAGACAUCAUCAUUUUAUCUUGUCAUAGCAUGCCACAUUUAUCUUGCAAAUGGUGCGGGAGUUCUGACGAUGGGAUUUCCCCGAAAGGCUUGUAGAGACGAGUUCUUCCGGGGAUAUUUCUAAGUGAGAAAAUUUUCGAGAUUUUACCAAAGCGUUGGGAUGAUCUUCGAAUGAUUUUCCAAUAAAAGAUUGCCGACCUCAUUAUUUAAAAUAAACAAGUCAUGACAUCAUUUUACGCUUGCAUCAUGUGCAUACGUAAAACCAAAUAAAAAAAUCAGUUGGCCAAUUUAAUAAAAAAUUAGUUAAUAAGCAGGGAUUAAAUCAAAAGUAGGCUAUAAUAGGAUAACUUAAGAUUAAAUGGUACCGUUCGUGGAACGGGCACCACGGAGAUGCUAACCCUUCUCCGUGCGUAACGGCACUCCCGAACCCAUCUAAAAAACAUGGAUCAGUUCUCGUUCUUUCGACGGACCUAAAAUUAAUUUAGGACUUCGUCGAUUAUAAUCAGAUUAAUAGGUAACCAAUCACACCUAGAUAAAAAAUAUUGGUGGUGACUCCUAAACAACAUUUAAUUUUCACCGGCGUCUUGCGGUCGAGUUCUCGAACUCGCACGUUACGAUAGAUGGCGACUCCACUGGGACCUCGAGGGUCAAGCCAUUAAUUAAUCAUAAGUUAUCUUAAGCCUUAAAUAAUUUAUUUUUUUCCCUAGCAUCAAUUUUGCGUAUUUUUGUUUAAUGCAUUCAUUUAUUUUGCUAUUAUUACUUCACUAUUUUUAAUAAUUGCAAGAAAUUUAGGAUAAGAAGAGUGUGAAAUUAUUGGUCCAAUGUCAGUAUAUUCCUUCUCACACACUACACAUCUUGUAUUCAUGCAUAAGCCUUUCACCUGGGCUUUGUCCUUAAUUAUGAGGGAGUUAAGUAGCUACGCUCUCGUGAGGUGAUAACCUCCACAUGGGCUAGUGAAGACUCUCACUCAGAUCGAACCUAAUCCGUUUGAAGCCUGUAAUGGGUGAGAAUCGGGGUGCCUUACUAGUCCGUGUGGACAACAGUGAAAAGCGAUUUGGGAACCUUUAGUUCCAUUUUCAACCCAAACUCAGCAUGUAAAAUACCGAGAGUUGCCUUUGCUUAGGUAGAGUUUCACCUGUGAGAAUAUACCUUUUGACUAGGUACACAUAAAGGAAUUUUCAUAAUUCCCUUGUUCUAAAUUCUUCUCCGCGAAGUAAUGAAGGUAUCAUGUUAUUAAUUAUUCAUCUUUUGGAAUUCUUGUUUACGGUACUGACUUAAACUUUUUGUCAUAUGCAUAUUUGCAUCAUAAUUUUGCAUAUAGGAAAAGUAUUUGUCACCUGACAACCGUUGACAGAGUAGAUCCAAUUGCAUACAUGGAGUCAUCAUGGCCAUCCUCAAGUUACGAUGGAAUAUACGAAGUGACUCAGCAUAUGGCGAGUGCCCAACAAAGUGAAGGAGAAUGCUUGUCAAAAGAUCACUUCUCAUCACUACCUGAUAGGGUCCACCUUGAUCUUAAACAGAACGACUUCACCAAUUUGCUCGACAUAUGGGAUAAGUGGGGGGCUAGCACUCGGGCGAAUUUCAAUAGAAAAUAUGGCCACAUAGCUCGACUCCUUAAGGUCUAGAUAGAUGAACAGUUGUUAAAGGCCAUUGUGCAAUUUUGGGAUCCGUCGUAUAAAUGCUUCAUGUUUAAUGAGGUGGAUAUGGUCCCCACAAUCGAAGAGUGCUCGACUCUCUUACAAAUCGAUCUUGAUAAUCCGGACAAGAUAUAUUGGAGAGGACAAAAGACUGGACACAGGCGAAAGUUAGCCCAGAUGAUGGGUAUUACCCCGACGGAAGUUGAUCAAAACCUAAAGAAAAAAGAGGACAAUGAAUGUAUCCCAUGGAGUUUUCUACGUAGCUAUAUCAUGAAGCAUCGGAACACCGAGCAAGGACAGCUUGUGAUGGCCUUGGGAAUUUAUGGGCUAGUCAUCUUUCCCAAAGUCUUGGGACAUAUAGAGGUCGAAAUUAUAAACUUCUUCGAGCAAGUCAUCAACAAGGCCAAUCCUUCACCUUCUAUUCUAGCAGAAACUCUCAGAUCACUGAAUUAUUAUCGGAGAAAGGGGGAAGGACGAUUUGUGGGAUGCGCACAGCUUCUUUCCAUAUGGAUAGUAAGUCAUUUUGAAUGCAAGGUCGAGAAGUUCAAGAAGCCAUUUCAUCCGCGAACCGCCCCUAUCAAAGAAUUUUGUGAGAGUGAAUGGCCAAAAAAUAAGACUAAGGAGCAAUGGAUCUCUAGACUUCAGAAACUCAUGAGUGUGGAAGUAACGUGGAAAGCUCCGUGGAUGCCACAUCACCCGAUCUUGUACAAAUGCAGAAAUGAACCUUCAGUGUCGUUAAUGGGGCCAUGGGGAGCAAUCAGCUAUGCCCCAAUCAUGGUGAGAAAACAAUUUGGGUUAGAGCAGUUUGUGCCGAUGACACACCGACUUAAUACUUUGGAGUUUGCUUAUGGAGAGCCGGGUUUUCUAAAAAGGAUUAAGGAGAUUGUGCGAGCUUGGAAGAAAACUAGCCGAGUCGACCAAGGGAGAUACACUGAUGAAGUAACUACCAGAUAUCAGAUAUGGCACAACCAAUGAGUUAAAUAUGUGGUAUAUUCGAAGGAAGAUGCACUGCGUGGCCCAGUUGAUCCGGAACCACGAGAUGCUUUACUUGAAAGUGAGUUGGCUCGAAAGAAGUCCGAAGCUGAAAAUGCCAAUUGGAAACAACGGUAUGAAGACCUCCAAAAGAGUGUGAGAAGAUGAAGAAAGAAGUAAUUGAACAAAAAAAGAAGGUCUGAAAAAUAGAUAGUGAUUGGAAAAUGAAGUUUUCUGCCACAACCAGUGAACUUUAGAGGGAAAUACAAGUAAGAGAAAAUUGAGGCGAUGAACUUCAAGCGUACAAUGACGGACUAAGAAAUCAAGUGCGAUUCCAACAAGAGUCCAUCCAAUUACUAAGACAAGAGUAUGAAGAGCUCGAAGGGGUUAUGAUGACUUAUCAACAGGAAUAUGAACACCUCAAGCAAUAGAGCACCAGAAUUCAAGAGUGGGGUGAAUCCUACAGACCUGCUUAUAUAGAGAAACACGACCAGAUGGAUUACUUGGUUUGGCAAAUGAGGGAGGUGGCUUACAAGGCGAGAAGCAUGGCUUGGAAAACGGAUAUAUUAAGGAGCCAGGUCUUUCUAGUUGGAAAACAAGAGCAACAGUUGAUUAAGUAUUUAGAUGAGGUGUAUAGCCAUUAUAAUAAAAUUGGUGAAUAUUUCUAGAUGACUCCUGAGUUGUAAUCAAAAACAAUAUCUUAUGCAAUGGAUGACUUUGUUGUUAGGUGUCAUGUGACGAAUACUUUUAGUACAUAAUCAUUCAUACAUGCAUAAAUCAUCAUUUCAUGACAAUAAGUAUUUUCACCUAAAAAUAAAGAUAAUGGAUUCAUUUCUUCAUUUCAUUCAUGCAUCAAAUAUGCAUCUAAUUCAUGUUUAUGAUUACAAUAAGGUUCCAAAAAUAGCUCAACCACCUAAGCCAAGUGACCAACAUGUCCAUAAUACGCGUCGACGAACAAGGAUCAUGGAAGAAGAACAAAGAGAGCGAAUGGAUAUAAUGGAAAGAGCUCAAGAAGAAAUUAGAGAACAGUUAGCAAAGAUGAUGGAAUUGAUGACAAGCUUAAGUAAAGGAAAAAGAGUUGCAGAAGAGUUAGCUCCGUCAGAAAACCCACCAGCUCAAGACAUUGAAAACCAAAGGGAUGAUCCACCUUAUCCCCCAGGGUUCACUCCACCACAUGCCCAAACCUCUCAAAGGGUCCACCCUCAUGAGUGAUGGGGCUCUGAUUACCAACUCCUUGGUGCCAGAACCCCAUUGCCGGGUUGUCCAAAUUUUUGGACAACCUAGCUUUUAAGGAUUGACCACCUGCAAAAAAACGGAAGGAGAAAAAAAAAACGUUUUCAAAACAAAAAACCUAAAAUCUCUAUCAGCCAGAAACAGCCACAAUCAACAGAAAAUAAGAAAUCACAACAAAAAAAAAACAAAAAGAAGAAACGAAAAUCUGAGAGACCCAGGGAGUGUGGAUCUAUUCAGCGAGGGAAGGAGAGAUAGGGGGUGAGUGGUGUCGGAUCUUAGCUGCGCACAAAAGGUUUAGGAAGCCGCCG